GACGAACCGUGCGAACGUUAUUCGGAAUCACUGGGCUUAAAGCGCGUGUAGGCGGGAGGGCACGUCCGUCGCUGAAAUCCCCCGGCUCAACCGGGGAAGCGGCGCGGAUACGACUCUUCUGGAGGGGCGUAGGGGGACCUGGAACUUCCGGUGGAGCGGUGAAAUGCGUUGAGAUCGGAAGGAACACCGACGGCGCAGGCAGCGUCCUGGCCGCUUGCUGACACUGAGGCACGAAGGCUGGGGGAGCAAACAGG
This 254-nucleotide ribosomal RNA is filed under the name uncultured bacterium. RNAcentral's name for it is "partial 16S ribosomal RNA". It matches the Rfam family "Bacterial small subunit ribosomal RNA", at positions 524 to 776 of the family's 1533-position model. The record is from RNAcentral.